GGUGAACGCUGGCGGCGUGCCUAACACAUGCAAGUCGAGCGGGUACCCGCAAGGGUACCAGCGGCGCACGGGUGAGUAACACGUGGGUAAUCUACCCCUCGGAGGGGGAUAACCGGGGGAAACUCCGGCUAAUACCCCAUACGAUCCAACAACACAAGUUGUUGGAUGAAAGGAGCGUUUGCUCCGCUGAGGGAUGAGCCCGCGGCCCAUCAGGUAGUUGGUGGGGUAAUGGCCCACCAAGCCUACGACGGGUAGCCGGCCUGAGAGGGUGGUCGGCCACAAGGGCACUGAGACACGGGCCCUACUCCUACGGGAGGCAGCAGUGGGGAAUCUUGGACAGUGGGCGAAAGCCUGAUCCAGCGACGCCGCGUGGGGGAUGAAGCCCUUCGGGGUGUAAACCCCUGUUGCGAGGGAGGAAUAAGGCCUGGAGGAAAUGCCAGGCCGAUGACUGUACCUCGCGAGGAAGCCCCGGCUAACUACGUGCCAGCAGCCGCGGUAAUACGUAGGGGGCGAGCGUUACCCGGAUUCACUGGGCGUAAAGCGGGUGUAGGCGGCUCGGUAAGUCGGGUGUGAAAUCCCACAGCUCAACUGUGGAAUUGCGCCCGAAACUGCUGAGCUUGGGGCCGGUAGAGGGAGACGGAACUGCCGGUGUAGGGGUGAAAUCCGUAGAUAUCGGCAGGAACGCCGGUGGGGAAGCCGGUCUCCUGGGCCGCGCCCGACGCUGAGACCCGAAAGCUAGGGGAGCAAACC
This 750-nucleotide ribosomal RNA is filed under the name uncultured Thermotoga sp. Its description in RNAcentral is "bacterial SSU rRNA". It matches the Rfam family "Bacterial small subunit ribosomal RNA", at positions 28 to 774 of the family's 1533-position model. The record is from RNAcentral. Lineage: Bacteria; Thermotogati; Thermotogota; Thermotogae; Thermotogales; Thermotogaceae.